GAUGAAGAACGUAGCGAAAUGCGAUAAGUAAUGCGAAUUGCAGAAUUUCCGUGAGUCAUCGAAUCUUUGAACGCACAUUGCGCCCACUGGUAUUCCGGUGGGCAUGCCUGUUUGAGUAUCAUGAAAUUCUCAACCUUUCUGGCUUUUGCAAGCUAGUUUAGGCUUGGAUUAUGGAAGUUGCUGGCUUUUGAAGUCGGCUCUUCUGAAAUGCAUUAGCAAGAUUCAUUGCUGCUCAUCAUUGGUAUGAUAAUUAUCUAUACCAUUGAGAGUCGGUUUCCUUCAUUGGAGGAUUUUGCUUCUAACUGUCUUUACUUAAGACAUCAUUUGACCAUUUUGAUCUCAAAUCAGGUAGGACUACCCGCUGAACUUAAGCAUAUCAAUAAGCGGAGGA
RNAcentral lists this unclassified non-coding RNA (391 nucleotides) under soil metagenome. RNAcentral's name for it is "partial contains 5.8S ribosomal RNA, internal transcribed spacer 2, and large subunit ribosomal RNA". The stretch from base 1 to 121 matches the Rfam family "5.8S ribosomal RNA", at positions 35 to 154 of the family's 154-position model. The record is from RNAcentral.